CGCAGCUAACGCGUGAAGUUGACCGCCUGGGGAGUACGGUCGCAAGAUUAAAACUCAAAGGAAUUGACGGGGACCCGCACAAGCGGUGGAUGAUGUGGAUUAAUUCGAUGCAACGCGAAAAACCUUACCUACCCUUGACAUGUCUGGAAUGCCGAAGAGAUUUGGCAGUGCUCGCAAGAGAACCGGAACACAGGUGCUGCAUGGCUGUCGUCAGCUCGUGUCGNGAGAUGUUGGGUUAAGUCCCGCAACGAGCGCAACCCUUGUCAUUAGUUGCUACGAAAGGGCACUCUAAUGAGACUGCCGGUGACAAACCGGAGGAAGGUGGGGAUGACGUCAAGUCCUCAUGGCCCUUAUGGGUAGGGCUUCACACGUCAUACAAUGGUCGGGACAGAGGGUCGCCAACCCGCGAGGGGGGAGCCAAUCCCAGAAACCCGAUCGUAGUCCGGAUCGCAGUCUGCAACUCGACUGCGUGAAGUCGGAAUCGCUAGUAAUCGCGGAUCAGCAUGUCGCGGUGAAU
Molecule: ribosomal RNA, 517 nt
Filed under: uncultured bacterium
Lineage: Bacteria
Description: bacterial SSU rRNA
Rfam family: Bacterial small subunit ribosomal RNA
Source: RNAcentral